CUUGGUCAUUUAGAGGAAGUAAAAGUCGUAACAAGGUUUCCGUAGGUGAACCUGCGGAAGGAUCAUUACAGAAUAAACUUGAUGGGUUGUAGCUGGUUCUCUCGGGAGCAUGUGCUCGCCUGUCACUUUUGUUUUUCCACCUGUGCACCAUUUGUAGCCUUGGAAUUAUAAAACUAUCUGAAUGCUUUUCAGUAUGAGGGUUUGCUGGGCCACACUUGGCUAAGCUUCCCUUGCUUGUUUCAAGGCUAUGUUUUCUUUUAUACACCCCUGUAGUAUGUCUCAGAAUGAUAUUCAAGGGCCCCUAGUGCCUAUAAAGUUUAUACGACUUUCAGCAACGGAUCUCUUGGCUCUCGCAUCGAUGAAGAACGCAGCGAAAUGCGAUAAGUAAUGUGAAUUGCAGAAUUCAGUGAGUCAUCGAAUCUUUGAACGCACAUUGCGCCCUGUGGUAUUCCGCAGGGCAUGCCUGUUCGAGCGUCAUUUCAACCCUCAAGCUCUGCUUGGUGUUGGGCCCCGCCCGCUCGCGGCCGGCCCUAAAGACAGUGGCGGCAGCGUCUGGCUCCAAGCGUAGUACAAUCCUCGCUCUGGUGCUAGGCGGUGGCCUGCCAGAACCCCCCUUCUAUGGUUGACCUCGGAUCAGGUAGGGUAUACCCGCUGAACUUAAGCAUAUCAAUAAGCGGAGGA
Molecule: ribosomal RNA, 681 nt
Filed under: uncultured fungus
Lineage: Eukaryota; Fungi
Description: eukaryotic LSU rRNA
Rfam family: 5.8S ribosomal RNA (bases 324-477)
Source: RNAcentral